RNAcentral lists this ribosomal RNA (450 nucleotides) under uncultured bacterium. Its description in RNAcentral is "partial 16S ribosomal RNA". It matches the Rfam family "Bacterial small subunit ribosomal RNA", at positions 29 to 523 of the family's 1533-position model. The record is from RNAcentral.
AAUGAACGCUGGCGGCAGGCCUAACACGUGCAAGUCGAACGGAUCCUUCGGGAUUAGUGGCGGACGGGUGAGUAACGCGUGGGAACAUACCCAAAGGUACGGAAUAGCCUCGGGAAACUGGGAGUAAUAACGUAUGUGCUCGAAAGAGGAAAGAUUUAUCGCCUUUGGAUUGGCCCGCGUUGGAUUAGGUAGUUGGUGGGGUAAUGGCCUACCAAGCCGACGAUCCAUAGCUGGUUUGAGAGGAUGAUCAGCCACACUGGGACUGAAGACACGGCCCAGACUCCUACGGGAGGCAGCAGUGGGGAAUCUUAGACAAUGGGGGAAACCCUGAUCUAGCCAUGCCGCGUGAUCGAUGAAGGCCUUAGGGUUGUAAAGAUCUUUCAGGUGGGAAGAUAAUGACUGUACCACCAGAAGAAGCCCCGGCUAACUCCGUGCCAGCAGCCGCAGUAA